CCUGCACUGCCAAGGAUGUCCCCAAAAGUCACAUCCACAGGGCUGGAAUUCCACCAAAGGAAUUUUCCCAACAUCCGACCCCAACCCGACUGUUUUUUGGUUUUUUUUUUGGAGGGGAUUAGAUUUUGAUUGGGUUCUUUGUAGAAGGAAUGCAUUUUUUUGGAAGGAUUGGGAUUUUUUUGGAGGGAUUGGGAUUUUUUUGGAGGGAUUGGUGGGGUUUUUUUUUGGAGGAAUUUGGAUUUUUUUUGGAGGGAUUGGAGUUUUGAGAAAUUGGGGUUUUUUUGGAGGGAAUGAGAUUUUGAGGGAUUGGGGUUUUUUGUAGAGGGAAUGCAUUUUUUUGGAGGGAUGUUUUUUUUUGGAGGGAUUGGGGUUUCUUUGGAGGGAAUGAGCUUUUGAUGGACUGGGUUGUUUUUUUUUUUUAAUGGAAUGAGGUUUUUUUAAAGGGAUUGGGUUUUUUGGAGGGAAUGAGAUUUUGAUGGACUGGGAUUUUUUUUGAGGGAAUGCAUUUUUUUUUUGAGGGAUUAGAGUUUUGAGGGAUUGGGGUUUUUGGGGGGGAUUGGGGUUUUUUUGGAGGAAAUGAGAUUUUGAUGGAUUGGGGUUUUUGGGAGGGACUGGGGGUUUUUUGGAGGGACUGGGGGUUUUUUGGAGGGACUGGGGGUUUUUUGGGAAGGACUGGGGGUUUUGAUGGACUGGGAUUUUUGGGAGGGACUGGGGUUUUUUUGGAGGGAAUGAGACUUUGAUGGACUGGGGUUUUUUUGGAGGGAUUGGGGUUUUGACAUCUUGGCGUUCGAUGGCACAAUGAAAGCCAUCCCUUCUCAUCCUUCCCCUCCUCCCUACCAGCACAAGGCGGUUCCAGCCUCCUCUGGAGAACCACGAGGUCUCUCCCGGUGGGAUUUGGCUUUUUUUUCCCCUCGGGAUUUCAUUCCAGGCGCGGCGCUAGGACCCGGCGCUGGAGCCUGCGCCCUGCUCGGCGGCACCGCGGCACCGCAGCCCCCGCAGCCGCCUCCCUCCUCUCCUCCUUCCCGGGAUCAUCCCGCCGCAUUCCCGGUUCUUUCCGCCUCGGGAUCGCCGCUCCGGAGCCGCAGCAAGGUCCCGGACACGCCGAGGAUGCAGCGGGAGGAAUGGAGAGAGAAAGGAAAGAAAUUCCAAGGUCACAACCAGGCAGCAGAGGAGGAGGAAAUUGCAGGAAUUCACAAUUUAAAGGUGGAAUUUGGAGAAAUCAACAGGAAAACCCAAAAAUUCUGCAGUGGAACAACCCUGGAAGGUCCCUCCCGAUGGAAAUUUGGGAAUUCUGGAAUUCCCUGAGCAGUUUGGAGGGAGGGAUGGCAGCAACACACCUCACACAGGUAAAUUCUGCCUGCAUUUCAUAGCUUAAUUAAUUAUUCGUUAAUUAUUCAUUAAUUACUCAUUAAUUAUUAAUUAUUCGUGUGGUGCUAAUGAGGGCGGGUCAAUUCCCAGCGGGAAAAUCCCGAUAUUUCCUGGAGUCAGGAGUAGGAAUAUCCAUUCCUGCCAGCCUUAAUGAGCUCUCCCUAAUUAGCCAGGGCAUUAAUUACCCCCCCCACCCCACCAGGGCUGAGCUAUUCCCACCCAGUCUCCAUUCAAACUUCCCAAAAUCCCAAAAUCCCGACGGGGAAGCGCCGCCCUCAUCCCAUCACUGACCCCACACACAAACCCCAAACAGCCCUAAAAAACCAUAAAUAACCCCAAAACCCUGAAAUGCCACUAAAAACCCCAAAAUCCUCCCCAAACAUCCCAAAAUACCUCCAAAAAAUCCCUAAAUCCCCACUAAAAACCCCUACAGACCCUCCCACAACCCCAAAAUGUCCUCAAA
Molecule: long non-coding RNA, 1831 nt
Filed under: Lonchura striata (white-rumped munia)
Lineage: Eukaryota; Metazoa; Chordata; Aves; Passeriformes; Estrildidae
Description: domestica (Bengalese finch) lncRNA (ENSLSDG00000013144.1)
Source: RNAcentral